GUGACCAUCCCUUUGUCCCAAAUGGUUGCUAAUUGCAUGUGGGGUAGGUGCAACCACGCGUGGAGGUGACCAACGACGAAGGCCCCACCCUCAUCGGACCCUAACAUCCGCCUCCCCUCCCCUCUGCUCCAUUAGACUCGCACCCUCGCACGAGAAAGGUAGGGGCACAAAGGCCACCACCACCUCCUUCCUCACAUGAAGGUUAUGGGUGGGACGGAUAGAAUUUGCAAAAACAAGAUAGCCCUUGUGCCCCCUCCGUGCACGAGGGUUGCGGGCAACAUAUCCAACGAGGCAGAAGAGAGGGGAAGCGACUGCUAGGGUCUAACGAGGCCACAAGGGCGAUGGCGAAGGCGAAGGCGACACAAGAUAGCAGUGCAAGGAGAGGAGGUAACAUUUGGUUCGUUGUAGGCGAUGCAAGACAAUGGUGUAGGGAGGAGGAGGUGAUGAUUGAUCCAAUGGAAGCACAGGUGUGAUCUUACUAUGAUUGUUAUGCGAGAAUUUCUCAAAAUUUAGAUGCUUCAUAGGAAAUUCUCAAAUUUAUGAGUUUUUUUUAUAAGAACUCAGCCCAUCUUUAAAUAGCCAUCAUCCUAGUGUGACAAAAUCUUUUUAAUUUUAAAAAAAAUUAAAAAUAAUAUAUUUGUCCUCACAAAAUCUCUUAGAGAUAUCUAGCGAUGAAUGCACCGUUGAAUACUUAGUAUGUCUUAUGCCCUAAUCCACCAAAAAAAAAUCGUAUAAUAUAAUGAAUAAAAAUUAGUCUAAAAAUAUAUAUGUUACCAACUUUGAAAGGAUAAUAUAAUUAAAAAAAAACAUACCAGCAUCCUUCCUCGAUCGAAUUAUAUCACAUCAAAUCAUACUCCAACGAAAAAAAAUAUAAUUAAGCUUGUAUCAUAAUAUAUGGGGCAAUUUUUUGAAACUAGUUACUAACUUAAGAGUUUUUUCUCGCAGUGAAAAGACUAUUUUACCCCCUAACAUUGAAAACCAAGCCCUAGCCGACAAUGACCGCCUGGCCCACCAAUCCUUGUCGUGUACC
Molecule: long non-coding RNA, 1030 nt
Filed under: Musa acuminata (dwarf banana)
Lineage: Eukaryota; Viridiplantae; Streptophyta; Magnoliopsida; Zingiberales; Musaceae
Description: long non-coding RNA (MACU_LNC001445)
Source: RNAcentral